This 1188-nucleotide ribosomal RNA is filed under the name Triticum aestivum (bread wheat). RNAcentral's name for it is "partial small subunit ribosomal RNA". The record is from RNAcentral. Lineage: Eukaryota; Viridiplantae; Streptophyta; Magnoliopsida; Poales; Poaceae.
AUGGGAGAGGGUCGCAGCCGGCGCCGGCCUGCUUCGGCGAGGUUAGGCGUGAACUGGCGGUUGGCGGCGGCUCGAUCCACUCCUGGAUCGAGACCUACGAGGAUGCUGGGGCUUGGGCGUGAGGCACGGGAGGCUGCGCUCCGCCUCUUCCUCGCUCAACAAGAGGAGCAUGUGCAGUGCGGGUGGUGCGGCGGACAGCGGCUCAUGCAGUGGUGCGGCAUCCGGUGGCCUCAGCGGGUGGGCAACGACACCAGCAACUGGUGCACAAUGGUGACGCCAUGCAGCUCCUGCACUCCGCAACCCUCUCCUUCCCGGCACAGCAGGAGCAGGAGCAAGGAUGCCGAGGCAUUUCAGUUGCAAGGAAGAGUAGGAAGAUCAGGCAGAGAAGGUUUAACAUACCUCUUCUACACUGACAAGUCUUUGCUUCCCAGGAUUGUCAUGGCCAAGAUGGAAUGUGAAGGAAACGUGACCUUCUCUGGGAAAAUCGGUAUCUGGCCAUUCAUGAAAGAAGUUCCUGCUCAGAGGAGAAGCGACAAUAGGCCCAGAGGUACAAUAGAGACAAAGUCAAUAAAGGUCGACAGAACAGUGAUGAGGGAGUUCCUGACAGAGAAGAUCUUGCCAGCGAUACAAGCAGUUUGGCCGGAAAGUGAUGUUGGACAGACCAUCUACAUUCAACAGGAUAAUGCUAAGCCCCAUAUCUUGCCAGAUGACCAGGAAUUUCUAGCAGUCGUCACAAAAACUGGACUUGACAUUAGAUUAGUACAACAGCCUGCUAACAGUCCUGAUUUGAAUGUGCUUGACCUUGGGUUUUUCAACUCGCUGCAAUCUCUGAUAGAUUGUCUGAGUCCUAAAACACUACAAGACCUUAUUGCAGAUGUUUUGGAGGAAUUUGAAGGCUAUGAGGUUUACAAGCUCAACAGAAUUUUCCUAACUCUACAAAUGUGCAUGAUUGAGAUCAUGAACCAUGCAGGGGGAAAUGGGUAUAAAAUACCACAUGUUAACAAGGAAAGGCUUGAGGGUCAUGGGCAACUACCUCCAAGAAUAACAUGCCCUAAAGAGGUUUACACAAAUGCCCUAUACAACUUAGAGGAGAUGCUUGACAUGAGGCUUGUUCAGAUGCUUGAGAUGAGGCUUGUUCAGAUGCUUGACAUGAGGCUUGUUCAGAUGCUUGACAUGGGAGAUGCUUGA